RNAcentral lists this ribosomal RNA (534 nucleotides) under Balanus trigonus. RNAcentral's name for it is "partial 16S ribosomal RNA". It matches the Rfam family "Bacterial large subunit ribosomal RNA", at positions 1834 to 2625 of the family's 2925-position model. Lineage: Eukaryota; Metazoa; Arthropoda; Thecostraca; Balanomorpha; Balanidae. The record is from RNAcentral.
UUCCUCUUAGUUUAAGAGGUAAGGCCUGCUCACUGAAUUAUUUUAAAGAGCCGCAGUAUCCUAACUGUGCUAAGGUAGCAUAAUCAUUAGUCUUUUAAUUGGAGACUGGUAUGAAUGGCUAAACGAGAAAUUGACUUUUUUUGUUAUAAAUAAUUGAAUUUAAUUUUUUAGUGAAAAAGCUAAAAUUAUUCAGAAAGACGAGAAGACCCUAUAGAGUUUUAUACUAAAUUGUUUAUUUUUCUUAUUUGAUUUUUUUGGAUAAAUAAAUGAAAAGUAUUUUGUUGGGGCGACAUUAAGAUAAAAAAAACUCUUUAUUUUUUUAAUUUUUAUAAAAAGAAAGUUUGAUCCUUUAUAAGAGAUUAAAAGAUAAAAUUACCUUAGGGAUAACAGCGUAAUCUUUAUUGAGAGUUCUAAUCGACAAGAAGGUUUGCGGCCUCGAUGUUGGACUAAAAUUUAGGCAGGGUGCAGCAGUUCUGCUUUAAGGUCUGUUCGACCUAUAAUAUUUUACACGAUCUGAGUUCAGACCGGCGUAAG